This 495-nucleotide ribosomal RNA is filed under the name uncultured bacterium. RNAcentral describes it as "partial 16S ribosomal RNA". It matches the Rfam family "Bacterial small subunit ribosomal RNA", at positions 28 to 523 of the family's 1533-position model. The record is from RNAcentral.
GAUGAACGCUAGCGGGAGGCCUAACACAUGCAAGCCGAGCGGUAUUGUUUCUUCGGAAAUGAGAGAGCGGCGUACGGGUGCGUAACACGUGUGCAACCUGCCUUUAUCUGGGGGAUAGCCUUUCGAAAGGAAGAUUAAUACUCCAUAAUAUAUUGAACGGCAUCGUUUAAUAUUGAAAGCUCCGGCGGAUAGAGAUGGGCACGCGCAAGAUUAGCUAGUUGGUGAGGUAACGGCUCACAAAGGCGAUGAUCUUUAGGGGGCCUGAGAGGGUGAGCCCCCACACUGGUACUGAGACACGGACCAGACUCCUACGGGAGGCAGCAGUGAGGAAUAUUGGUCAAUGGGUGCAAGCCUGAACCAGCCAUCCCGCGUGAAGGACGACUGCCCUAUGGGUUGUAAACUUCUUUUGUAUAGGGAUAAACCUACCCUCGUGAGGGUAGCUGAAGGUACUAUACGAAUAAGCACCGGCUAACUCCGUGCCAGCCGCCGCAGUAA